AACGCACAUUGCGCUCCUUGGUAUUCCGGGGAGCAUGCCUGUUUGAGAAUCAUUAAAAUCAUCAUUAUUUCUUAGGAUGAAAAUCUUUUGAGAUAAUGGAAUUGAGCCAUUUGCAUUUGCAAUGGUUUGAAAUUGAGUGUCUGAUGCUGUUUAUUACAAGCAAUGUGACAAUAAUGCUUGAAAAGGACUACCUUAGAUUCAUUAUUGUCUCUUCUGUGUAAUGAAUAGUGAAUGCUCUUUGUUAUUAUGAAAGUGGUGACUCGCAGCCAAAUCAUUAGUGGUCUAAUCUUCGGAGAAGACAUGAAGAUUUGGUUGUUCAUGGUUGACUUUCAUAAUAACUUUGAAAAAGGUCACUGAUUGUGAUUUUUUCUCACUUGGUCUCAAAUCAGGUAGGAAAACCCGCUGAACUUAA
RNAcentral lists this unclassified non-coding RNA (412 nucleotides) under uncultured fungus. RNAcentral describes it as "sequence contains 5.8S rRNA gene, ITS2, 28S rRNA gene". Lineage: Eukaryota; Fungi. The record is from RNAcentral.